UACGGAAGGCAGCAGGGGGAAUAUUGCACAAUGGGCGCAAGCCUGAUGCAGCCAUGCCGCGUGUAUGAAAAAGGCCUUCGGGUUGUAAAGUACUUUCAGUCGUGAGGAAGGUGUUAAGGUUAAUAACCUUAGCAAUUGACGUUAGCGACAGAAGAAGCACCGGCUAACUCCGUGCCAGCAGCCGCGGUAAUACGGAGGGUGCGAGCGUUAAUCGGAAUUACUGGGCGUAAAGGGCACGCAGGCGGUUAAUUAAGUUGGAUGUGAAAUCCCCGGGCUUAACCUGGGAAUGGCAUUCAAGACUGGUUAGCUAGAGUCUUGUAGAGGGGGUAGAAUUCCAUGUGUAGCGGUGAAAUGCGUAGAGAUGUGGAGGAAUACCGGUGGCGAAAGGCGGCCCCUGGACAAAGACUGACGCUCAUGUGCGAAAGCGUGGGGAGCAAACAGGGAUUAGGAUA
This 452-nucleotide ribosomal RNA is filed under the name uncultured bacterium. RNAcentral describes it as "bacterial SSU rRNA". It matches the Rfam family "Bacterial small subunit ribosomal RNA", at positions 340 to 784 of the family's 1533-position model. The record is from RNAcentral.